CAUCACUACGCUAGAUGCAUAUCAAUAAGCGGAGGAAAAGAAACUAACAAGGAUUCCCUUAGUAACGGCGAGUGAAGCGGGAAGAGCUCAAAUUUGAAAUCUUCAAGGUUUUACCUUGACGAAUUGUAGUUUAAAGAAGUGUUUUCUGUUGGAGUUUUGGUAAAAGUUCUUUGGAAUAGGACAUCAUAGAGGGUGAGAAUCCCGUAUUUGACCAUUAUUUUCAGCUGCGUGAUACACUUUCAAAGAGUCGGAUUGUUUGGGAAUGCAGUCCAAAAUGGGUGGUAAAUUUCAUCUAAAGCUAAAUAUUGGCGAGAGACCGAUAGCGAACAAGUACCGUGAGGGAAAGAUGAAAAGAACUUUGAAAAGAGAGUUAAACAGUACGUGAAAUUGUCAAAAGGGAAGCGUUUGACACCAGUGUUGUUUUCUCGAAAAUCAAUUAAAAAUGAUGGGAUUUUGUGUUGUAUUGACUUUAUCAGCUUUCUGCACUUUUUUCUUAUCUUUUUUAAUGCACUUUUCGUUUAACAAGUCAACAUCAAUUUCUUUUGUUGUAAAAGAGUCAUUGGAAGGUGGCUUUUUCUUCGGAAAAAGUGUUUAUAGCCUUUGGCUUCUGCAAUCGGAGAGAUUGAGGUCUGCAGCGUAGAUCCUUCGGGGUUAGAUACAUUUGUGCUAAGCUAUAGUUCUUUAUAGACAACUUGUUGACUAUAAUCAAUCCUGUAACUUACUCGCUUAUGCUAUUUUACCUACGCUUAGGAUGUUGAUAUGCAUGACUGAUAU
This 774-nucleotide ribosomal RNA is filed under the name uncultured Neocallimastigales. RNAcentral describes it as "partial large subunit ribosomal RNA". The stretch from base 7 to 693 matches the Rfam family "Eukaryotic large subunit ribosomal RNA", at positions 24 to 664 of the family's 3401-position model. Lineage: Eukaryota; Fungi; Neocallimastigomycota; Neocallimastigomycetes; Neocallimastigales. The record is from RNAcentral.